UUGACGAGAAUUUUCUUUGAAAUUAUUUGCCAUAUUUUUUAACUGGUGAUUGGAGUACCACAAAUUCAUUAAUAAUGAAACAAACGGAUGUUGUUAUCAUCAAUUUUCUUCCUAUUUAUAUGCAGCAAACUUCUUUCAAUAACGAUGCAUCGUACAUAUAUAGGCAGGGGCUAUGCAGCUUAGAAUAGUAAUUCGCUGGAAGGAUAAUAUCAUA
Schizosaccharomyces pombe (fission yeast) is the source of this 214-nucleotide non-coding RNA. The record is from the annotation of a GenBank genome assembly. Lineage: Eukaryota; Fungi; Ascomycota; Schizosaccharomycetes; Schizosaccharomycetales; Schizosaccharomycetaceae.